Molecule: long non-coding RNA, 744 nt
Organism: Hemicordylus capensis (graceful crag lizard)
Lineage: Eukaryota; Metazoa; Chordata; Lepidosauria; Squamata; Cordylidae
Exons: 2
Source: RefSeq, a predicted model, not a curated record
GUGGCUCCCUUGCUGUGUUGCUACACAGACCAGCUAUGAAACGAUCCCCAGCGAAAUGUUUUCUGACCGCCCAGGCGUGGGGGUUUGCUUGAAGGCCAGCCUCUGAGAGGAGGGAGCUUGAAAGACACGGGUAGUAGUGCGAGGCCUUUGACUCCUGCAGCGCCUGUAGGAAGGACGGUUGAUUUUUGGCUCCACUGCUCCCUCUCGGCUUUCUUUUUAGAAGCCCAAUGCUUAAUCAAGUUGCAUUUGACAAGAGUGAUGAAAAACAUACAGCAACAAGGUCACCUAAUGCCAAUCAGGCUGGGACUUGAACCCAGGUUACUGUCUUUGAACUGCAGCCUAUGUUUUUGGAUUUACACAGGUGAAAAUGUUGACCUAGAAGAAUAUGGAACAAACUACUACAGCUUUAAGCUAUGGAGGAGUUUUGUUUUUUUUUAAGGAAGGAAAAAACAGGGAAGGAGAAGAAGCCGAAACAAAGGCAAGCAGAUGGCUAAAGAUGAAGGUCACAUCAGAUUGAGAAGUUUGUCAAAAUGUGAUGACAUAGGUAAUCUGUAAACUGUUAUUGCACCUAGCUGGAGGUGCUGAAAAACAUUUUGAAAUUACAAAAAACACUGGAGUCACCAGCGCACAGGCAGGAAUGAUAGCCUGGAGUGGUUCUGCUCUAUGGAUGAAUGCCAGAUGUGCAAAGCGACAUAUCUGGAAUUAAUGAUAUUAAACAUGCUUUUCUUUUAUGCUCAAUAAUAA